RNAcentral lists this transfer RNA (69 nucleotides) under Hemilepidotus gilberti. RNAcentral's name for it is "tRNA-Ala". It matches the Rfam family "tRNA". From Rfam's summary of the family: Transfer RNA (tRNA) molecules are approximately 80 nucleotides in length. Their secondary structure includes four short double-helical elements and three loops (D, anti-codon, and T loops). RNAcentral also lists the same sequence under 2 other names. Lineage: Eukaryota; Metazoa; Chordata; Actinopteri; Perciformes; Cottidae. The record is from RNAcentral.
AAGGCUUUAGCUUAAUUAAAGUGUCUGUUUUGCAUGCAGGAUAUGUGGGUUAGUGCCCCGCAAGCCUUA